GGUUACAGACUAAGGAAACUCCAUCCAUCAUUACAGAACUAUAAUGUUUUAAAAGCAUAUGCUGAGAAGUAUGACUCUGGAGCAGAAACGACACGUCUUUUAAUGAAUGACUAUGAUGUUUAACUGAGUGACAUUAAAAGGAUCGGUGAAACGGCCAUUCUAUAGGAUGCAAGAAUAAACAUGCUGAUGAAAUACUGUAUGAGGCAGGGUAAUUUGCGUAGAUGAAUACUGAUAACAGAAGGUGGGUUACUCUUAGCA
RNAcentral lists this RNase P RNA (258 nucleotides) under uncultured Methanobrevibacter sp. Its description in RNAcentral is "Archaeal RNase P". It matches the Rfam family "Archaeal RNase P". Rfam says of the family: Ribonuclease P (RNase P) is a ubiquitous endoribonuclease, found in archaea, bacteria and eukarya as well as chloroplasts and mitochondria. Its best characterised activity is the generation of mature 5'-ends of tRNAs by cleaving the 5'-leader elements of precursor-tRNAs. Lineage: Archaea; Methanobacteriati; Methanobacteriota; Methanobacteria; Methanobacteriales; Methanobacteriaceae. The record is from RNAcentral.